This 253-nucleotide ribosomal RNA is filed under the name uncultured bacterium. RNAcentral's name for it is "partial 16S ribosomal RNA". It matches the Rfam family "Bacterial small subunit ribosomal RNA", at positions 524 to 776 of the family's 1533-position model. The record is from RNAcentral.
UACGGAGGGUGCAAGCAUUAAUCGGAUUUACUGGGCGUAAAGGGUGCGUAGGCGGACGGAUAAGUCAGAUGUGAAAUCCCGGUACUCAAUACCGGAACGGCAUUUGAAACUGCCUGUCUUGAGGGUAGACGGAGAGAACAGAAUUCCACGUGUAGCGGUGAAAUGCGUAGAUAUGUGGAAGAAUACCGGUGGCGAAGGCGGUUCUCUAGUUUAUUACUGACGCUGAUGCACGAGAGCGUGGGGAGCAAACAGG